AUUGAACGCUGGCGGCAGGCCUAACACAUGCAAGUCGAGCGGAUGAAGGGAGCUUGCUCCUGGAUUCAGCGGCGGACGGGUGAGUAAUGCCUAGGAAUCUGCCUGGUAGUGGGGGAUAACGUCCGGAAACGGGCGCUAAUACCGCAUACGUCCUGAGGGAGAAAGUGGGGGACCUUCGGACCUCACGCUAUCAGAUGAGCCUAGGUCGGAUUAGCUAGUUGGUGGGGUAAAGGCCUACCAAGGCGACGAUCCGUAACUGGUCUGAGAGGAUGAUCAAUCACACUGGAACUGAGACACGGUCCAGACUCCUACGGGAGGCAGCAGUGGGGAAUAUUGGACAAUGGGCGAAAGCCUGAUCCAGCCAUGCCGCGUGUGUGAAGAAGGUCUUCGGAUUGUAAAGCACUUUAAGUUUGGAGGAAGGGCAGUAAGCUAAUACCUUGCUGUUUUGACGUUACCAACAGAAUAAGCACCGGCUAACUUCGUG
Molecule: ribosomal RNA, 484 nt
Filed under: uncultured bacterium
Lineage: Bacteria
Description: partial 16S ribosomal RNA
Rfam family: Bacterial small subunit ribosomal RNA
Source: RNAcentral